This 109-nucleotide ribosomal RNA is filed under the name Empedobacter sp. GD03865. The record is from RNAcentral. Lineage: Bacteria; Pseudomonadati; Bacteroidota; Flavobacteriia; Flavobacteriales; Weeksellaceae.
UAGGGUGAUUAUUACGAAAGGGCUCACCUCUUCCCAUUCCGAACAGAGAAGUUAAGCCUUUCAGUGCCGAUGGUACUGCUACUUGCGGGAGAGUAGGUCAUUGCCAGUU